AUCAGAUUCAGGCUGUAUUUAGUGGGGGAGGGAUCUGGCCUCAUAUCCUUCAUCUUUAUGCUGCUCCACUCCAGCUCACAGCCCCUCCAACUGGAUGGAGCUCUUCGAAGGGAGGGGCAUUUCAGAGGAGGGUCUCAGGGAUAGCCCCUUUGUGGGGCUGGGCCACCAGGUUGGGGAGAGUGGAGCUGCUGGAACUCUGGAGGGACUGGCUGAGCCAGCUUUCCCAGUGCACCCCUCUGGGAGGGCAGGCUCUCGGUGUAGGCUGCCCAUCUCCUCGCUCUCCUCUGGCACUGCUCCUAUGCCCCCUUGGUUAGCCUGGGAGCCCAUACUACCCAGACUUGGGGUCAAUAAGCAGAGGACCUGUAAGGAGUCCUUGAUGGGAUGUACAGCACUGCCCAACCCUGCACAAGAUAACCCAUGGGCUCCUGAGAGCAGAGAUUGUGACUUACUCAUCUUUGAUGUAGCCAAGUUCUAACAAACCUAAAUGUGCAGUGUUUGACUACCUGAGAGCUGUCUAGAUUGAGCUGAAGGAAUUCAGAAAAGGGCAGUAUGAAUUCUUCAGCGUGGAGGCCGACUUUGUGGAGAGGAGGCAGGGCCUAUGUCGAUGCUGCUCGCUCUAUUUUCAGGGCUUGGCACCAUUCAUCCUCAAAAAGGCUACGGGUCCUCACUCAGAAUUAAAGAGGCUGUUCUGCAAAGCUGCCAUUCAUAGGGAGAACUGGCGAUGAAGUGUCUGUCAAAAGGACUGUUUUUACAAUUGGGACCUGCCUGUAGUGGUGAUGAGCCAUUUGUAAGAGAGGAUCAUGGAAUGAAUACGGGCAUUGAGUCAAGCAGUCUGUGUUCCACUGGCGGUGUGACCUGGGGCAGGCCAUUUCACCUCACUGAGCCUUAGUUUCCUCACCUGUAAAAUGUGAAAAAUAUCACCUUCCUUACCAGGCUUUUCUGAGGAUUUAAUGACAUCAUGUUCAGUGCCCAGUAUGGGUGGAUAAUACCCAGGAGUUUCCUCCUCUUCUCCUCCUAAGUUGACUUGAUGCCCCCCGCUGAAGAUCAUGGCUGAACUGGCUCAAUUCGGAUCCAGGACUCCUGGCUUUGUCUCUUCCCUAGUUGCCCACCACACCCAUGGACACCCUUAGGUAGUUUAUCCUUUUGGGACAACUGGAUUUAUUAGAAAAGGGUAUUCUGGGGUGGAAUAAGGCCCUUUUCAGUCCCCAUGGAGCCUUUUUGGAAGAUGAAGUUCUCAAACCCACAAGAGAAUUCAUAAGACGAGCACACCACCCACAGUUAGGUUUCCCUCUCAAGUGCUUUAUCUCCACGUGGGGCAAAUAGCUCUUUGUCUGCAUAUGUUAUUGGAGCUUUUGGAGUCCAGCCUUCAGAAGAGCUCUAAUUUUUGGAUUCAUAUCAGUUUAUUAGAGAAGCCUAGUUCUAAGGAUUAGCAAAUGGGUAGGUGCUCAGCCAGCCCAGAACAAGCAGAGCCAUGACAGAAGUUUCUGGAAUCUCACAGAGUCGGUGUCUUCAUGGACUCAGGGGGCCUAAAUCCAAUAGCCUGGAUUUGUCACUUUCCCUUAUUCCCUUAUCAAACUCUUCCCUUUUGGACAUCAGAGAAGGAAAGUACUUCCUGUAAGGGGGCAAUUUGCAAAGCUUCAUGGAAGUGGCAUUUGAGUGUGGCCUUAAAGGAUGUGUAGGAUUGGGAACCAUAGAUAUUUAGAGGAAGGCAUUCCUGGCAGAAGGAACAGCAGCAAAACACAGAAGUGGAAAUUAGUAGCAGCAUUAAUGGAGAAUAAUUUGGGGAAUAAGAUAUACAAAUGGAAUAAUAAAAAUAGCAUUAAUUAAACAUUGUGGGAGUCAUUCUGUAAGAUGGCCCCUGGUGAUCUCCGCCUCCUGUUCUUCAUGCCUUAUGUAACCGCUCUCCUUGAGUGUGGUCUGGAAUUACUGACUCACUUUCAAUGCACAGAAUGUAUCAGAAGUAAUGGGAUAUUCCUUCUGAGAAUAGAUUAUAAAAAAAGAGUGUGGCUUCCUUCCUGGCAUUUUCGCUUGCUCUCUCUUUAAUUGUGUGCUCCAAACAAAGCCAGCUGCCAUGUUGUGAGGAAGCCCUGUGUGGAGGACCACAUGGUGAGGA
RNAcentral lists this long non-coding RNA (2113 nucleotides) under Homo sapiens (human). RNAcentral describes it as "HSALNT0141162". Lineage: Eukaryota; Metazoa; Chordata; Mammalia; Primates; Hominidae. The record is from RNAcentral.